Molecule: long non-coding RNA, 287 nt
Organism: Dermacentor silvarum
Lineage: Eukaryota; Metazoa; Arthropoda; Arachnida; Ixodida; Ixodidae
Exons: 3
Source: RefSeq, a predicted model, not a curated record
GGGCACUGCAAUGGCUUCUUGCCUGUGUGGGCACGCAGGUGUAUCUUCAUGCUGGUCUUAUAAGAGAAGCUUUUAGGGCAUGAAGGGCACUGAAAUGGCUUCUCACCAGUGUGGGUGCGUAGGUGUUCCUUCAUGUACGACUUGCGUGAGAAGCUCCGAGGGCAUGAAGGGCACUGAAAUGGCUUCUCACCAGUGUGGGUGCGCAGGUGGUUUUUCAGGAUGUCUCUUCUUGAGAAGCUCUGAGGGCACAAAUGGCACUUAAACAGACGCUCGCCACUAUGGACCCU